Molecule: long non-coding RNA, 1668 nt
Organism: Brassica napus (rape)
Lineage: Eukaryota; Viridiplantae; Streptophyta; Magnoliopsida; Brassicales; Brassicaceae
Exons: 3
Source: RefSeq, a predicted model, not a curated record
AAGAACAUUUUUAAAAGGUCAAUGAAGAAGUUUCAAAGUGGAUAGAACAGAGGAAGAACCGAAUCUGUAAGAGAGAAUAUAUCUCUCUAUCUGUCGUCUCUAAUCACAUAUACAAGAGGAAAUAACACACAAGAGUAUCAAAGCUCCAUUUUUUUUCUCCGCACAUCACCACUAAUUCGCCAAUGGCUUCUCUGAAUCUUUCACCAGUUGUUUCUGUAUCUAAUUAGGGUAUGUGAUUGCAGAGCAGUUUCCAUCCCUAGAGGUAUUUGUUGGUGUUCCUUACUGUAGCGGAGGAGUUUCAUUUCGUGUUCGGUCUGAACAAUCUCUGUCGUCCUCAUCCGAUCUUCAGGGUCUGUGUUUUCUUUGCAUUUGAAUGUAAUUGAAGAAAAAGAAAAACCAUUUACAUAGUUUUGUUUUUUUGUAUUUUGGUUCAAGAUAAAUGUGAGAGGAGGCGUGUGGUGAUAACAUUAGUUCUUGUUGCUCCUUGGAUCUCAUUGCUUCAUUUGGUGCAGAAAGCAAGAAAGGAUUUCAUGACCGUCUCUGACAAUAAGGAUGCUUAUUCCUUCCUCUACCCCUUUGGCUGGCAGGAAGCUAUGAUUGAAGGUCAAGACAAGGUCUACAAAGACGUCAUUGAGCCUUUUUAAAAAUGUAAUUCACUUAUAAUUGCACACAACACACAAAGCUUUUUAACUUGUCAAAGAGAAGAAAAAAUGGGCAAACCAGACAAAGUAGAACCAGCGUCAACAAUGUAAACAUUCCCAGAGACAUACCUGGAAGAGUCAUGAAUCAGAUACCUAACCAGCGAGGUAAGCCCCGGGUCCACACUCUGCUGCACCUUCAACGGUACAAUCCUCUCCCUCACAUUCUUCAUCCACUCUUUCCUCAUCAGACCUUCCGUGAUCUCCGACUUAAACAGCCCCGGCGCUAUCGAGUUCACUCUUAUACCAUACUCACCCAUCUCCACCGCCAUCAUCUUCGUCAUAAUAUCCAGCCCUCCUUUCGAACACGCGUACGCCAACGCGCCCGGUAGCUUCCCGCGCUGAAGCCCCGCGAUGGAGGAAACGUUUAUCACCGAACCUCCUCCGCGUUUGGCGUCGCGCAUUAGAACGCAGACGUGUUUUGAUACUAGCCAAGGUCCGGUUAGGUUUGUUCUGAAGACUCUUUCCCAUUCUUCUUCGGAUAGGUCAAGACUCGACUUGACGUUUCCUCUGAUGCCUGCGUUGUUGAUCAAGACGUCGAUGUGUCCGAAGAUGUCCCAAGCUUGUUUGACGGCGUUUCGGAUGGUGGAUGUGUCUGAGGAGACGUCUAGCUCGAGAGGUGCGGCGAGUUUGGUUUUUGUUGAGAAGGCGUUGAUCUCGGAGCAGAGGGAUUGGAGACGGUCGAGACGACGAGCGGCUGCGAUGAUCUUGCAGCCGGAUUUGGCUAGAUCGAGGCAGAUCUCUCUUCCGAUGCCGGAUGAAGCUCCUGUUAGGAGAACCACUUUGUCUUUGAGCUCGCACCAUGGCUCUAGUUGCUUCAUCACCUGCUUUUUGGAUCAAUAAAAGAUAGAAACAUUUGAAUGGUAAUGGUGUUACAAAGAUAAGAGAUCUCAUCAACGUUGUAUCUUACAGUCUGAUGAUUGCUGCUCAUAGUGUUUCUCACUGUGAAGCUGUCUCUUUCUCCGAAGUC